AUGCAGUCGAACGAUGAACCACUUCGGUGGGGAUUAGUGGCGAACGGGUGAGUAACACGUGGGCAAUCUGCCCUGCACUCUGGGACAAGCCCUGGAAACGGGGUCUAAUACCGGAUAUUGACCUUCACGGGCAUCUGUGAGGUUCGAAAGCUCCGGCGGUGCAGGAUGAGCCCGCGGCCUAUCAGCUUGUUGGUGAGGUAAUGGCUCACCAAGGCGACGACGGGUAGCCGGCCUGAGAGGGCGACCGGCCACACUGGGACUGAGACACGGCCCAGACUCCUACGGGAGGCAGCAGUGGGGAAUAUUGCACAAUGGGCGAAAGCCUGAUGCAGCGACGCCGCGUGAGGGAUGACGGCCUUCGGGUUGUAAACCUCUUUCAGCAGGGAAGAAGCGAAAGUGACGGUACCUGCAGAAGAAGCGCCGGCUAACUACGUGCCAGCAGCCGCGGUAAUACGUAGGGCGCAAGCGUUGUCCGGAAUUAUUGGGCGUAAAGAGCUCGUAGGCGGCUUGUCACGUCGGUUGUGAAAGCCCGGGGCUUAACCCCGGGUCUGCAGUCGAUACGGGCAGGCUAGAGUUCGGUAGGGGAGAUCGGAAUUCCUGGUGUAGCGGUGAAAUGCGCAGAUAUCAGGAGGAACACCGGUGGCGAAGGCGGAUCUCUGGGCCGAUACUGACGCUGAGGAGCGAAAGCGUGGGGGAGCGAACAGGAUUAGAUACCCUGGUAGUCCACGCCGUAAACGGUGGGC
This 743-nucleotide ribosomal RNA is filed under the name Streptomyces olivaceus. RNAcentral's name for it is "bacterial SSU rRNA". It matches the Rfam family "Bacterial small subunit ribosomal RNA", at positions 55 to 814 of the family's 1533-position model. Lineage: Bacteria; Bacillati; Actinomycetota; Actinomycetes; Kitasatosporales; Streptomycetaceae. The record is from RNAcentral.